RNAcentral lists this ribosomal RNA (253 nucleotides) under uncultured bacterium. RNAcentral's name for it is "partial 16S ribosomal RNA". It matches the Rfam family "Bacterial small subunit ribosomal RNA", at positions 524 to 776 of the family's 1533-position model. The record is from RNAcentral.
UACGGAGAGUGCAAGCAUUAAUCGGAAUUAUUGGGCGUAAAGGGCGCGUAGGCGGGACAGACAGUCAGAUGUGAAAUUCCGAAGCUCAACUUCGGAGCUGCAUUUGAAACUACUGACCUAGAGGGUUGACGGAGAAAACGGAAUUCCACGUGUAGCGGUGAAAUGCGUAGAUAUGUGGAAGAACACCAGUGGCGAAAGCGGUUUUCUAGUUUAUACCUGACGCUGAGGCGCGAGAGCAAGGGGAGCAAACAGG